Molecule: long non-coding RNA, 1023 nt
Organism: Priapulus caudatus
Lineage: Eukaryota; Metazoa; Priapulida; Priapulimorpha; Priapulimorphida; Priapulidae
Exons: 2
Source: RefSeq, a predicted model, not a curated record
GCUACAAUGUCUAUGUCAGGAAUGCCGUCAUCAAUUACCGUGCUGAGUCAUCACUUGACAUGACGAUGCGUUCCCUAUAUCCGAAGGUGUCUCUGCAAGCAGCGGUCCUGGACCAUGAUUACCUUGUGCGACCAUUUACAGAAUAUUGGGUGGAUCAAUCACUCCAGGUAUCCAACGCACGAAUACAGGCAAUUGAGUGUACCACCAGGAAGCAGAACCAAUCGAAAGACUGGUACGAGCAUCGCAGCUGGCGGAUCACUGCUUCGCAUUUUGGGAUGUUUGCCAUGCAACCGAGCGUCGAAAUAGGCGGAAGCUUUGCUCUUCGAUCCUGUCUCCAGGAAAGCUACACACACGAGCUAUUAUUUAUGGACAGCAGUAUGAAUCUGCUGCCCUAAGGAAAUUAGAGAACGAUCAUAAUCUUAAAGUAGAGAAAGUUGGACUUUUUAUUUCUCACGAACACCCAUUUUUGGCAGCCACACCAGAUGGGGUGUUAGAUAGGAAAACCAGGUUAAGUGUCCAUACUGGGGAAGGCAUUCUAAGAUUGCUCUAGGUAAAUCGUUUCCAUUUUUGGAGUACAACAACACUGGCAAUAUAUCCUUAAAGAGAAAUCACAAAUACUAUUUACAAAUUCAGGGACAGUUAAAUAUUUCUAGAAGAUCAAAAUGCUUAUUUGUUGUGUAUACCUUUGAAGACAUGUUUAUUGAGGAAAUUGAUGUUGAUGUAAAUUUGUGGAGGCAUAGCAUGGUGCCAAAGCUACAGGCAUUCUAUGAAGUUUACUACCGGAAGCAUGUGGCAUCCACAUUGUGAUUGUAGCCAUUAAUGCAAAUAAUUAAGGAAGACAACUAUGUGCUAUUUUAUUGUAAUGUCAGUUUGUAACUUUUCAUGCACAGUAAUAUCCUGUAAAAUACAAGUAAUGCAUUCCAAAACGAGAGAUACUUUUUUUCUAUUUACAAUUACAAAUUACGUAUAGGCAAAAAUUAAGAAGCGUUAUUAUCAUAAGGAUGGUGUCUCUAGGGUAAUUUC